This 72-nucleotide transfer RNA is filed under the name Triticum dicoccoides. RNAcentral describes it as "tRNA tRNA-Lys". It matches the Rfam family "tRNA". Rfam says of the family: Transfer RNA (tRNA) molecules are approximately 80 nucleotides in length. Their secondary structure includes four short double-helical elements and three loops (D, anti-codon, and T loops). Further hydrogen bonds mediate the characteristic L-shaped molecular structure. tRNAs have two regions of fundamental functional importance: the anti-codon, which is responsible for specific mRNA codon recognition, and the 3' end, to which the tRNAs corresponding amino acid is attached (by aminoacyl-tRNA synthetases). tRNAs cope with the degeneracy of the genetic code in two manners: having more than one tRNA (with a specific anti-codon) for a particular amino acid; and 'wobble' base-pairing, i.e. permitting non-standard base-pairing at the 3rd anti-codon position. The record is from RNAcentral. Lineage: Eukaryota; Viridiplantae; Streptophyta; Magnoliopsida; Poales; Poaceae.
UCCUUAGUAGCUUAGUGGUAGAGCGGUCGGCUUUUAACUGACUGGUCGUAGGUUCAAAUCCUACUUGGGGAG